This 497-nucleotide ribosomal RNA is filed under the name uncultured bacterium. Its description in RNAcentral is "partial 16S ribosomal RNA". It matches the Rfam family "Bacterial small subunit ribosomal RNA", at positions 28 to 507 of the family's 1533-position model. The record is from RNAcentral.
GAUGAACGCUGGCGGCGUGCCUAAUACAUGCAAGUCGAGCGAACGGACGAGAAGCUUGCUUCUCUGAUGUUAGCGGCGGACGGGUGAGUAACACGUGGAUAACCUACCUAUAAGACUGGGAUAACUUCGGGAAACCGUAGCUAAUACCGGAUAAUAUUUUGAACCGCAUGGUUCAAAAGUGAAAGACGGUCUUGCUGUCACUUAUAGAUGGAUCCGCGCUGCAUUAGCUAGUUGGUAAGGUAACGGCUUACCAAGGCAACGAUGCAUAGCCGACCUGAGAGGGUGAUCGGCCACACUGGAACUGAGACACGGUCCAGACUCCUACGGGAGGCAGCAGUAGGGAAUCUUCCGCAAUGGGCGAAAGCCUGACGGAGCAACGCCGCGUGAGUGAUGAAGGUCUUCGGAUCGUAAAACUCUGUUAUUAGGGAAGAACAUAUGUGUAAGUAACUGUGCACAUCUUGACGGUACCUAAUCAGAAAGCCACGGUUAACUACGUG